UGUGAGCUCGAUGAGUAGGGCGGGACACGUGGUAUCCUGUCUGAAUAUGGGGGGACCAUCCUCCAAGGCUAAAUACUCCUGACUGACCGAUAGUGAACCAGUACCGUGAGGGAAAGGCGAAAAGAACCCCGGCGAGGGGAGUGAAAAAGAACCUGAAACCGUGUACGUACAAGCAGUGGGAGCACGCUUAGGCGUGUGACUGCGUACCUUUUGUAUAAUGGGUCAGCGACUUAUAUUCUGUAGCAAGGUUAACCGAAUAGGGGAGCCGAAGGGAAACCGAGUCUUAACUGGGCGUUAAGUUGCAGGGUAUAGACCCGAAACCCGGUGAUCUAGCCAUGGGCAGGUUGAAGGUUGGGUAACACUAACUGGAGGACCGAACCGACUAAUGUUGAAAAAUUAGCGGAUGACUUGUGGCUGGGGGUGAAAGGCCAAUCAAACCGGGAGAUAGCUGGUUCUCCCCGAAAGCUAUUUAGGUAGCGCCUCGUGAAUUCAUCUCCGGGGGUAGAGCACUGUUUCGGCAAGGGGGUCAUCCCGACUUACCAACCCGAUGCAAACUGCGAAUACCGGAGAAUGUUAUCACGGGAGACACACGGCGGGUGCUAACGUCCGUCGUGAAGAGGGAAACAACCCAGACCGCCAGCUAAGGUCCCAAAGUCAUGGUUAAGUGGGAAACGAUGUGGGAAGGCCCAGACAGCCAGGAUGUUGGCUUAGAAGCAGCCAUCAUUUAAAGAAAGCGUAAUAGCUCACUGGUCGAGUC
This 757-nucleotide ribosomal RNA is filed under the name Escherichia coli. Its description in RNAcentral is "bacterial LSU rRNA". It matches the Rfam family "Bacterial large subunit ribosomal RNA", at positions 398 to 1155 of the family's 2925-position model. Lineage: Bacteria; Pseudomonadati; Pseudomonadota; Gammaproteobacteria; Enterobacterales; Enterobacteriaceae. The record is from RNAcentral.